CCUUCGGGUUGUAAAGCACUUUUGUUGGGGACGAAAAGCCAUGGGCUAAUACCUUGUGGGGCUGACGGUACCUGAGGAAUAAGCACCGGCUAACUUCGUGCCAGCAGCCGCGGUAAUACGAAGGGUGCAAGCGUUAAUCGGAAUUACUGGGCGUAAAGGGUGCGUAGGCGGUUAUUUAAGUCUGCCGUGAAAUCCCCGGGCUCAACCGGGGAAUGGCGGUGGAUACUGGAUAGCUAGAGUGUGUCAGAGGAUGGUGGAAUUCCCGGUGUAGCGGUGAAAUGCGUAGAGAUCGGGAGGAACAUCAGUGGCGAAGGCGGCCAUCUGGGACAACACUGACGCUGAAGCACGAAAGCGUGGGGAGCAAA
Molecule: ribosomal RNA, 365 nt
Filed under: uncultured bacterium
Lineage: Bacteria
Description: bacterial SSU rRNA
Rfam family: Bacterial small subunit ribosomal RNA
Source: RNAcentral